This 158-nucleotide ribosomal RNA is filed under the name Telimena ulei. RNAcentral's name for it is "5.8S ribosomal RNA". It matches the Rfam family "5.8S ribosomal RNA". From Rfam's summary of the family: 5.8S ribosomal RNA (5.8S rRNA) is a component of the large subunit of the eukaryotic ribosome. It is transcribed by RNA polymerase I as part of the 45S precursor that also contains 18S and 28S rRNA. Functionally, it is thought that 5.8S rRNA may be involved in ribosome translocation. Lineage: Eukaryota; Fungi; Ascomycota; Sordariomycetes; Phyllachorales; Telimenaceae. The record is from RNAcentral.
AAACUUUCAACAACGGAUCUCUUGGUUCUGGCAUCGAUGAAGAACGCAGCGAAAUGCGAUAAGUAAUGUGAAUUGCAGAAUUCAGUGAAUCAUCGAAUCUUUGAACGCACAUUGCGCCCGCCAGAAUUCUGGCGGGCAUGCCUGUCCGAGCGUCAUAU